GAAANCGGGGGAUCUUCGGACCUCGNGCCAUUAGAUGAGCCUAGGUCGGAUUAGCUAGUUGGGUGAGGUAAAGGCUCACCAAGCCGACGAUCUGUAGCUGGUCUGAGAGGACGACCCAGCCACACUGGGACUGAGACACGGCCCAGACUCCUACGGGAGGCAGCAGUGGGGAAUUUUGGACAAUGGGCGCAAGCCUGAUCCAGCAAUGCCGCGUGCAGGAUGAAGGCCUUCGGGUUGUAAACUGCUUUUGUACGGAACGAAACGGUGAGCUCUAAUACAGUUUGCUAAUGACGGUACCGUAAGAAUAAGCACCGGCUAACUACGUG
RNAcentral lists this ribosomal RNA (326 nucleotides) under uncultured bacterium. Its description in RNAcentral is "bacterial SSU rRNA". It matches the Rfam family "Bacterial small subunit ribosomal RNA", at positions 202 to 507 of the family's 1533-position model. The record is from RNAcentral.